UACGAAGGGUGCAAGCGUUACUCGGAAUUACUGGGCGUAAAGCGUGCGUAGGUGGUUCGUUAAGUCUGAUGUGAAAGCCCUGGGCUCAACCUGGGAAUGGCAUUGGAUACUGGCGAUCUAGAGUGCGGUAGAGGGCAGUGGAAUUCCCGGUGUAGCAGUGAAAUGCGUAGAGAUCGGGAGGAACAUCUGUGGCGAAGGCGACUGCCUGGACCAGCACUGACACUGAGGCGCGAAAGCUAGGGGAGCAAACGGG
This 253-nucleotide ribosomal RNA is filed under the name uncultured bacterium. RNAcentral describes it as "partial 16S ribosomal RNA". It matches the Rfam family "Bacterial small subunit ribosomal RNA", at positions 524 to 776 of the family's 1533-position model. The record is from RNAcentral.